AGGAGUGUAGCUCAAUUGGUAGAGCACCGGUCUCCAAAACCGGGGGUUGGGGGUUCGAUUCCUCUCACUCCUGCCA
This 76-nucleotide transfer RNA is filed under the name Alphaproteobacteria bacterium CG11_big_fil_rev_8_21_14_0_20_39_49. Its description in RNAcentral is "tRNA-Trp". It matches the Rfam family "tRNA". Rfam says of the family: Transfer RNA (tRNA) molecules are approximately 80 nucleotides in length. Their secondary structure includes four short double-helical elements and three loops (D, anti-codon, and T loops). RNAcentral also lists the same sequence under 2 other names. Lineage: Bacteria; Pseudomonadati; Pseudomonadota; Alphaproteobacteria. The record is from RNAcentral.